CAAAAAUCAACAAAAUACUGAAAAGUAUCUAGAAUCAUGACAGAACUGGGUGAAGAAAUGAAUUUUGAAGUCAGACAUACAGGUUUGAAGGCCAGCUCUGCCCCUAAUUGCUUAUAAGUCAUUAAACUUCUCAGAGCUUUGGUUUCCUCAUCUGUAAAAUGGGGAUAGUAAUCUACUUCAUGGAUUGCCGGGGUCCAGCCCCGGCUGAUCCAGGGUAUUCGAAGGAGAGACAGCCUAGGCGACUAUUUAUAUAUUAAUUAGAGAUAUAAAGAGUAAUAGAAUGAGGAUAGCUCAGUAGGAAAAUUCAGUGGAGAAAAGAGGCUGAGUAGCUUGGUUUACGCGGAAAAUCAAUAUAACCUGUGACACCAGGUUAGCUCUGACCAUGGAGGCCGCAGGCGCCCUCUCGAAUAGCAGAAGGUGCCCCACCUUAGACACCUUCUCGAGUGGGUCUUAGAAGCCCAGGCAAAUAAAUGGUCGCAGAGGAUAUCCGCGCUCCAGAUGGAGACUUCAGCCAGAAUGUGAAAAGAAUGACAUGCGGAGACCAAGCGCUGAUGAGAUUAAUAUUGAAAUCUGUGUAAAGCAGAUUAGCCUUUAUAAUGUGGGUGAGCCUCAUUUGAAAAGUUGAAGGCCUGAGGAGUAGAACAAAGACUGACCUCUGCUGAACAAGAGGGGAUUCUGCCAGCAGGUCUGCAGUGGUUCAAGAUUCCAAACAUUGUUUCACAGUUAUGUUCCUUAUUAAUAGUCACACAUUUCACUAUCUCAUCACAUCGACUCCUGGGAGGUCUCAAGUGAGGUUUCUUAACAGGACAAAGGUGUGUCAUCACGUGAUUCUCCAAACUUCCAAGCUGAGAUUCUUGCUGGAAAGCAAACAGCACUCUUCGUUCUUCGAUGUCCUGAUGGCACAGAGGAAUGGUAAGGGCUUAUCAGGUCUUCAACAGACUGUGUGGACCCCUCUGAGCAUCUAUUCCCACCUCCCCCAUCCCCAAGACAUCCACAAUGAAGGUCCAUCCUCUCUCCAGUUGCCCGACUCACUUAACCUUGGGAUGGGGUUGGCGAGGCCAUGCUGUCUUUGGAAGAGCAUCUCCAGCUUGUUUGAUUCUUCCUCCAACCCCAUAGACAAUUGUGGCAUGUUUUUCCCCAGCUUUAUCGAGGUAUGAUUGACG
Molecule: long non-coding RNA, 1163 nt
Organism: Bos taurus (domestic cattle)
Lineage: Eukaryota; Metazoa; Chordata; Mammalia; Artiodactyla; Bovidae
Source: Ensembl